UCAUUUUCAGGAGAGAAGAGUACUUCUGGGCACUUCUGUUAAGUUUUUGAAGGGCUGAGACCAUGCCAUGGAUGCAGUAGGCCCUUGGAGUCAGAGGACCAGAGUUUACAAAAGAGAAUUGAGGCCCAGACCUAGUCCAGCAUGUACUCCAGGUCACAAUUCCAAUGCUUCCAAUUAGAGACAGAUCUGUGGCCAGAAGCUGGGUGUCCUGACUUCUGUUCCAAGGUUCUAUCCAUCACACACCCAGUAGCAAUUACUGCACCUUGAUCCAAAUGGCAUAUGGCCCAUAGAUUUUUAUCUUUAGGGUUGUUCAGACCAAGCCUUCCCUUACCCUCUGCCUCUGUGUAAGUACAAAUCAGGAGCUUAUCAACAUUUCCCUUUGGGCUGUGGGUGACCCUAGUGUCUGUUGAGAAAGACAAAAGGAGCUAGCCUGAGGUUUCUUAGCUCCCUCAAAUUCCUCCCAAGUAGUUUCAGGGCUUCUCAGAGGUUAUUUCCCAGGAACUCUGAGAGCUAGUUUUUAGGUGUCAUGGUUUGAAAUCUUAAAGAGUAUCAUAAUAUCCUGGGAGCUAUCUAAAAAUUAGAUUUUAAGACAUCACUCCCAGAAAUUUUGAAUUCCUAGGUUUGUGACUGGGCCCAGGAAUAUGUUUGUCUUUAGCUCCUCACAUCAACUGAUGAUCAACCAGACCUGUGAACACCCAACUAUGUCCACAGAUCAUUCUUUCCAUGUAUAUAUUUACAGUUCACAGUAUUCUAAGCAUUGUUUGAGGCCUUGGAGAUAAGCAAUGAAAAAACCAAAGUCUGACCUCCUGGGGUUUUCAUUCCACUGGGGGAAACAGACAAUACGCAGUUAAACAACUAAAUGUGUCUUCAGUAAGUCAGCCAGUGACAGAAUGAUGGAGGAAAGAAGGUAAAGGAAGAGUGGGAGGAGGGCUGCUUUGCUCAAGAGACUACUUCCAUCCUGUGCCUUUAGAACAGAGAUUGAGAAAUAUGGGGACACAAAGUCAUGCAAAUACUGUUCAGAAGUGUGCUCUAAACAGAGGGAGUGGCUAGGUCUCAACCCUUGAGUUGGAGGGGGCAGGAUGAGCAUGGGGUUGGUGUACACAGAGAGGACAGUGUGAGCAGGAGACAAGAGUGUGGUGGGGCUGCACUCAGGACGACAAGAUGGCAAUGUUAGAAGCUGGAAGACCUGUGAGGAAGCUAAUGCAGUCCAUGGUAGACAUGAUGGGUUUGGGGACCAAGUGGUAGCAGAGGAUAUGAACUGGAUAUUGGAAAUAUUUUGAGCAUAAAAACUACUGGGAUUUGCUGAUGGAUUGGGUAUGGUGUGGGACAAGAGAAAAAAAUCAAUGGCGACUCUAAGAUAUUUGGAGUGGACAACUCAAAGGACAGAGUUGCCAUUUUGGAGAAGGAAAGAGGAGAUUUAGAAGGAAAAUCAAAAUCUAAUUUUGGAUAUGUUAGGUUUGAAAUACCUGUUAGCCAGAUGAUAAGACCAAACAGCUGUUUGGGUAUGCAAAUCAGGAGAUCUAAGGAGAAAUAUAGGCUGGAUGUAUAAAUUGGAGCAACACUGGGGUAUGGCACGAUAGAGAUCAUAAACCAAAUAUUAUCAUCUAUGGAAUGAGUAUGGAUAGAUUGGAGAAGCUCUAAAGACUAAAGCCACCUGUUCUUUAUUGUUUAGAGGUUGGAGAGAGGAGAAAGACCAGUACAGAAGCCUAGGAAGGGGUAUGCAAAGAGAAUCACCAUUUUAUUUCCCUCCCACUGUGUCUCAUUGAACAUGUGUCCUAUCGCUGCUGGUCCCUGAAACCAUAACUGAUUGACAAAAUCUCAGAGGCAUCAGUGUUGCUACAGAAAGGGCUGUUGUUGCUGCCACCAUUCUCACUUGUUCUGCAUCGCACCAAGUUAUAAAGCUUCACUUCUUUGAUUCCCAGUGUGCAUUAGAGAAAUCUCUCCUUUUUGUUUUAAUGUCAUGUAUUGGAGAAUCCUUAAGAAAGGAUUUGGGUAGGUAUCUGGAAUCCAGACAGAGUAAAUGGUCUAUCCUAGUCCAUUGUCCUUGAACUGAUUGCAUAUUUUUCAAGUAUUUUUCAGUUCUGAAUCCUAUGGUGAACACAACUUAGAUUCAAGAAGAAAUAAUAGCCAUAUUAGGAAAACAAGGGAUUGUAAAACAAUUGCUCUGGGAGGAAGCUCUUGCAAUCAUGGAAAAACCUGAGCUCUAGCACCACAGAAGUUUGGUUUCAGUUCCCAUCCAAGCAAGAAACAGAAAGCUCACAGAGAGAGACAGUUCAGACAUACUGUUCCCAGUUAUUCUCUGCAAGUGUAUGGAAAGGCUUUAUUAUAUACACUUUGAAGUGUUGGAGAGAAGAAAGCAAUUUAAUUCAACAAAAGCCAUCGAAAUGGUGUAAUCUAUUAUUGAAAUACAGGCUAUCAUAAUGUGCAGUGCACACACAUAUAACUUGUUAAAGGGCUGCUUCUCUAAUUUUCUCAUUCUGAAUGUCAGAAUCUUGACUUUAUUAGUCCAACAGCAUCCAUCCGGGAGAGAAAUCUCUAAUUAACAAGAUCUAGUAAGGUUCUUUUAUUGGGAACUUUCUAGAGAGGACUAAGACCUGACUAAGACUCCAUCCCAUGCUAUCAAGAGCUCUGACUGACCCUGCAAGGAGUUUUUUUCUGGCUUCAGUGUCCUUUUUAUUAAUCCCUGAUAAAUCUAAAGUGUAUCUUCUUAAGCCCAGGUGGGAUAUAACGUUGUGAUCCUCUGACUACUUAACUUGAAUUUUCUUUGUUUGAAGUCUCUCUGGUGGCCAUCCCCUCAGAGGAAUCCAGUAUCUUUUGAGUUCUAUAGAAACUUGAGGAAAAAAGCGUUACACAGUUAUUCUGAUUAGAAUUUUUUUUUUUAACUUACAGGUAUUAAACAUAGGUUUUUGAGGCUAUUUCAUGGGUUAGAGUAUUAAAUAUCUCUGAGGCAAGAGUGGCUCUUGAUAUUUCCAUUUUAUCAGUCUGCUUCUACUAUCACAAUGGUUCACAUUAUGACCACUGCUAAUAGAAAUGGCCGAUGGGUUGAGAGAAACUGACCAGAAAGCCUGUUCAAAUAGUGCAUGCCUGUUCUGUAUUGGAAUGGACAAACAUUCAUCUCCACUUCUGCUUUUGUAUUUCUUAUCUUCACAGAGAAAAACACAAUGAUCUGUUUAGUAACUGCAGUCAGACGCCCCCAUGUUUCUCUCCCGACUUUGUUUUCCAGAGCACUCUCCAUUCAAAUAGUCCUAAUAUCUCUUGAAUGCAGCCUCUCUUAUCUCCAGCCAAAAGGACCCUACUUCUGUCUUUUAUUAUUUCUUAACUGAACAAUUGCAGCAGCUUCAUUUUGGUUCUUCUUUCUUCCAGUCUCAUCUCUUGAAAUCCAUGCAGAGUGUUUCUACAAGAGAGAUCUUAAAAAAAACCCAAAACUUGAAUAUCUUUACUGGCUUCAAAAGUUCCUUGGGUUUCCUCAAAAUAUGAUAUUAUGUUUCUUAGUAUGGGCUUUGGACCUCCUGCAUCAGAAUCACUGUCAAAAAUGUAUAUUCCAGAAUUUGGAAUUUGCACUUAUAACAAGCUUCCCAGGUGAUCCAUGUGCACUCAAAACAUUUAAAAAUUACUGACCUGAAUGAUAAAGAUUCUAUUGUUUAUACAAUCAUCAGAACCCUGCUUAUGUCUGCUGCGUUAUCUUGUACCAUGCCAUGUCACCUGUGUUACCCUCUACUCAUAGUGAACCAUACCUAGUUCUGGAAACGUGGUCAUUGAUCAGAAAAUAAGGCUUUAUUUAGGUCCAGUGAGGGCUUGGCAUUUCUGGGUCACUCUAAGUUCUCAGCAGUUUAUCAGUUCAACUAGUUAAAACCAGUUGUGGUGAAACACAUCAUUCAGUUUUAUUACAUUCUAGGCAAGUGUUGAAGUAAAUGUAAAAUUUUCUUUUUCACCCAGUAGUUAUGAUAGACACCAAAAUCCCUUCCUCCAAAACUGCACCAUCCAAUACAGUAGCCACUAAUUUCAUGUGCAUUGAAUUGUGGUUGAUCUAAAUUGAGACGUACUGUAUAUAUGUUAGAUUUUUGAAACAGUGUGAAAGAGUAAUGUAAAAUAUUUCAUUAAUGUGUUUAAAUAUUAACUCUGUGUGUCAAAAUGAGAAGACUUUGGAUGUAUAUUGAAUGAAAUAAAAUGUUACUCAAAU
This 4180-nucleotide long non-coding RNA is filed under the name Sus scrofa (pig). RNAcentral's name for it is "lncRNA (ENSSSCG00000062627.1)". The record is from RNAcentral. Lineage: Eukaryota; Metazoa; Chordata; Mammalia; Artiodactyla; Suidae.